This 497-nucleotide ribosomal RNA is filed under the name uncultured bacterium. RNAcentral's name for it is "partial 16S ribosomal RNA". It matches the Rfam family "Bacterial small subunit ribosomal RNA", at positions 28 to 507 of the family's 1533-position model. The record is from RNAcentral.
GAUGAACGCUGGCGGCGUGCCUAAUACAUGCCAGUCGAGCGAACGGACGAGAAGCUUGCUUCUCUGAUGUUAGCGGCGGACGGGUGAGUAACACGUGGAUAACCUACCUAUAAGACUGGGAUAACUUCGGGAAACCGGAGCUAAUACCGGAUAAUAUUUUGAACCGCAUGGUUCAAAAGUGAAAGACGGUCUUGGUGUCUCUUAUCGAUGGAUCCGAGCUGCAUUAGCUAGUUGGUAAGGUAACGGCUUACCAAGGCAACGAUGCAUAGCCGACCUGAGAGGGUGAUCGGCCACACUGGAACUGAGACACGGUCCAGACUCCUACGGGAGGCAGCAGUAGGGAAUCUUCCGCAAUGGGCGGAAGCCUGACGGAGCAACGCCGCGUGAGUGAUGAAGGUCUUCGGAUCGUAAAACUCUGUUAUUAGGGAAGAACAUAUGUGUAAGUAACUGUGCACAUCUUGACGGUACCUAAUCAGAAAGCCACGGCUAACUACGUG